RNAcentral lists this ribosomal RNA (253 nucleotides) under uncultured bacterium. Its description in RNAcentral is "partial 16S ribosomal RNA". It matches the Rfam family "Bacterial small subunit ribosomal RNA", at positions 524 to 776 of the family's 1533-position model. The record is from RNAcentral.
GACAGAGGGUGCAAACGUUGUUCGGAAUUACUGGGCGUAAAGCGUGUGUAGGCGGCCAAGCAAGUCGGGGGUGAAAGCCCAGGGCUCAACCCUGGAAUUGCCUUCGAUACUGUUUGGCUAGAGACCGGAAGAGGUAAGUGGAACUGCGAGUGUAGAGGUGAAAUUCGUAGAUAUUCGCAAGAACACCAGUGGCGAAGGCGGCUCACUGGCCCGAUACUGACGCUGAGGCACGAAAGCGUGGGGAGCAAACAGG